This 465-nucleotide ribosomal RNA is filed under the name uncultured Microgenomates group bacterium. RNAcentral's name for it is "bacterial SSU rRNA". It matches the Rfam family "Bacterial small subunit ribosomal RNA", at positions 505 to 968 of the family's 1533-position model. The record is from RNAcentral.
GUGCCAGCAGCCGCGGUAAUACGGAGGGUGCAAGCGUUACCCGGAAUCAUUGGGCGUAAAGCGUCCGCAGGCGGUAUGUUAAGUAAGAUGUUAAAUUUUGCAGCUCAACUGUAAAACUAUAUCUUAAACUGGCAAACUAGAGUAUUGGAUAGGUGCGUAGAAUUCUGUGUGUAGGGGUAAAAUCCGUAGAUACACAGAGGAAUACCAAAAGCGAAGGCAGCGCACUGGCCAAUUACUGACGCUCAGGGACGAAAGCGUGGGUAGCGAACGGGAUUAGAUACCCCGGUAGUCCACGCCGUAAACGAUGGAUACUAGGUGUUGGGAGACUCGACCCUCUCAGUGCCGACGCUAACGCAUUAAGUAUCCCGCCUGGGGAGUACGGUCGCAAGAUUAAAACUCAAAGGAAUAGACGGGGACCCACACAAGCGGUGGAGCAUGUGGUUUAAUUCGAUAAUAAGCGAGGAA